RNAcentral lists this long non-coding RNA (509 nucleotides) under Pongo abelii (Sumatran orangutan). Its description in RNAcentral is "lincRNA". Lineage: Eukaryota; Metazoa; Chordata; Mammalia; Primates; Hominidae. The record is from RNAcentral.
ACAAUGAAACCCAUCUGAUUAAGAUGCUCAACUUUUCUGAAGAAAAAGCUGACACCAAGACCUGCCUAAGGUCACACCAUCAUGAGUGGCUGAGUUGGGCUGUGAUGAGCCACCUGGCUGGAGAGCUCGUGCCCUGGUUACACGACUGCCAGUGAGAUGCCUAUGGACUCAUGCAUGUAGAGAGUGAGUGCAGCAGUGACAGCUUGGUGGGCUCCAGCUGACCCCUCCAGAGCCCCUGAGUGGUGGCGGUCUGCAGUCCUCAGUCAGCAGCAGCAGACGUCACCCGUCAUACAGGGCCAUUCACUGAAGUGUCACCUGGUGUGCUUGGCUGGCCAGUCCUAAGGAGCAACAGACAGGCAUCGGAGGCACUUGCAGCAGAAAUAUGAAAAACAAAACCUACUUAGCUGAGCUCCCCAAGGGCAGGGACCACUUAUUUUAACAUUGUUUUGAACUUAGUAAGUUUUUAAUAAAAUGACUGACAUGUAAAUGAAUGGAGCAAAAGCUCUAGA